AGAGUUCUGAAGUGUACGUGUUAUUCCUUUAAUGUGUUGACCGAACAAAUUUUACUAUCUAGGGAUUCGUGAACUCCAGUGGAGGACACGCCCCAUCACGGGGAAGUCUGAAGCUGGAUAGCGAAACCCACCUGCACUUAAGAGAGCGGGUUCAAUACAGAUAGAGCACACGGCACCUGUCGGAGCUCUU
Aerococcus sanguinicola is the source of this 190-nucleotide non-coding RNA. It matches the Rfam family "6S / SsrS RNA". Rfam says of the family: E. coli 6S RNA was the first non coding RNA to be sequenced, but its function was unknown until recently. It consists of 184 nucleotides that fold into an extended hairpin structure with a large single-stranded internal bulge. The 6S RNA specifically associates with RNA polymerase holoenzyme containing the sigma70 specificity factor. NCBI's taxonomy places the organism in Bacteria, Bacillati, Bacillota, Bacilli, Lactobacillales, Aerococcaceae. The record is from Rfam.